This 306-nucleotide ribosomal RNA is filed under the name bacterium enrichment culture clone ALO1_GLFRUDD03HDOHL. RNAcentral describes it as "bacterial SSU rRNA". It matches the Rfam family "Bacterial small subunit ribosomal RNA", at positions 9 to 311 of the family's 1533-position model. The record is from RNAcentral.
GAGUUUGAUCAUGGCCUCAGAUUGAACGCUGGCGGCAUGCCUUACACAUGCAAGUCGAACGGCAGCACGGGAGCUUGGCUCCUGGUGGCGAGUGGCGAACGGGUGAGUAAUGCAUCGGAACGUAUCCUGGAGUGGGGGAUAACGUAGCGAAAGUUACGCUAAUACCGCAUAUUCUGUGAGCAGGAAAGCGGGGGGACCUUCGGGCCUCGCGCUCUUCGGAGCGGCCGAUGUCGGAUUAGCUAGUUGGUGAGGUAAAGGCUCACCAAGGCGACGAUCCGUAGCAGGUCUGAGAGGAUGAUCUGCCAC